CCUACGGGUGGCAGCAGUGAGGAAUAUUGGUCAAUGGCCGGAAGGCUGAACCAGCCAAGCCGCGUGAAGGACGAAGGUGCCAAGCAUUGUAAACUUCUUUUGUCAAGGGACAAAAUCAGGCUCGAGAGCCUGACCGAGGGUACUUGAAGAAAAAGCAUCGGCUAACUCCGUGCCAGCAGCCGCGGUAAUACGGAGGAUGCGAGCGUUAUCCGGAUUUAUUGGGUUUAAAGGGUGCGUAGGCGGUAUUUUAAGUUAGUGGUAAAACGUCGGGGCUUCACCUUGAUUGGCCAUUAAAACUGGAGUACUAGAGUACAGACGAGGUAGGCGGAAUAAGUUAAGUAGCGGUGAAAUGCUUAGAUAUAACUUAGAACCCCGAUAGCGAAGGCAGCUUACCAGACUGUUACUGACGCUGAAGCACGAGAGCGUGGGUAGCGAACAGGAUUAGAUACCCUUGUAGUC
RNAcentral lists this ribosomal RNA (459 nucleotides) under uncultured bacterium. RNAcentral describes it as "partial 16S ribosomal RNA". It matches the Rfam family "Bacterial small subunit ribosomal RNA", at positions 338 to 795 of the family's 1533-position model. The record is from RNAcentral.